RNAcentral lists this ribosomal RNA (344 nucleotides) under uncultured bacterium. RNAcentral describes it as "bacterial SSU rRNA". It matches the Rfam family "Bacterial small subunit ribosomal RNA", at positions 8 to 349 of the family's 1533-position model. The record is from RNAcentral.
AGAGCUUGAUCAUGGCUCAGAUUGAACGCUGGCGGCAUGCUUUACACAUGCAAGUCGAACGGCAGCACAGGGAGCUUGCUCCCGGGUGGCGAGUGGCGCACGGGUGAGUAAUACAUCGGAACGUGUCCUGUUGUGGGGGAUAACUGCUCGAAAGGGUGGCUAAUACCGCAUGAGACCUGAGGGUGAAAGCGGGGGAUCGCAAGACCUCGCGCAAUUGGAGCGGCCGAUGCCCGAUUAGCUAGUUGGUGAGGUAAAGGCUCACCAAGGCGACGAUCGGUAGCUGGUCUGAGAGGACGACCAGCCANACUGGGACCUGAGACACGGCCCAGACUCCUACGGGAGCA